This 12863-nucleotide long non-coding RNA is filed under the name Lactuca sativa (garden lettuce). RNAcentral's name for it is "long non-coding RNA (LSAT_LNC004793)". The record is from RNAcentral. Lineage: Eukaryota; Viridiplantae; Streptophyta; Magnoliopsida; Asterales; Asteraceae.
UCAAACAAAUGUUUCCUUAUACUUAAACUGUUUUAUCAAACUUAUGCCUUCAAAUUGUUUUAUAGAUUGACAUCAAGUCGAUCUUUUCUUAAAAUAAUAUUUAUGUUUCAAAUGUCUUACAAAACUUAUUUAUGCUUUUAUAUUAUAAAUUGCAUGCCUCUAUAUGUAUAGUUAUAUAAGAAAUGUUUAAAAGACUUAGGAAGGCUAUCCACCCUAUUUCCUUUUCGCGCUUGAGAUGUGGUCUGGUGGGAUAUCGGGUACUCGUCCGAAGGUCGUUUAAAUAUUAGUUAUAUAUCAUGUGUACAUAUAUAGUCAUAAAAGGUCCUUCCAGUUCAUCAUAUGCCCUUGGGUAGCAAGGGUAUACAUCCAUGUUCAUACGUACCAGUUAGAUUACUAGUAAACUACCAUAUGGGUAGUUUAGGAAGAUACUAGAACAAUUACUAGAACGCGAUAUCAUACAAUGAGUCAGUUCAUUCAUGAGUCAAUACUUUCUAGAACAUUACAGUACAUUACAUAUACAACUAUACUAGGAAUAGAACAUAUACAACUAUACUAGAAUGAUUACAUUACUAUACUUGCUAGGUAGAGAGCACGUACAUUACAGCUAGAACAAUUCAUUACAGUACAUAUACAAGAAUACGUUAAUUAUUGUGAUUUAAAUCGGAGCAUGACUUAAUUGUCAUGACUCGAGUCGUACUAACUACCUUAAUCCGGUUUAAGGUAGUUAGUACGGCAGGAGUUCUUAUAGCACUACAACAUAGUACUAUUUCAUUUUUCCCAUUACAUUCACUUCGUGAACAUUCACACGACGCACGGUAAUGUAGAAACUAUAUUUUUGGAUAAUGAUAGUUAUAAUUGGGAACAUACAUACUCUUACAAGGGACACACAUUCAGAGCAGUUAGGUCUUGGUAGAAGACUACAUUCAGAACAGUUAGGUCUUGGUAGAAGACACCUUCAAGUACUAGUAGCAAAUCAUAGGGAUUUCUAGGGUUUUUCAAACACUUACAGUUAAUAUACACUUUCAAUACUUACUACACAUAUACAUACAAUUUCUUACAUACAAAUUAAGACACUAAAAUACUUAUGAUCUCACUAGCUUCAAAGCUGAUACUCGCUUUCAAAAUUACUUGUAUCCUCAGGUCAUCAUAGACAGGUACCGAUGCAAGGAGAAAGGAAGAUGGAGCUUGUUCAAGACUUAUCUUUCAUUUUGAUUUAUGCUUUAGUGUUUAUCAAAAUUUGACAGAACACAAUUGUAUAAUAAUUAUAUUAUUAAUGCAAUGGAUGAUGUUGUUGCUUGUUUACUACUUUACAUUGUUGUGAUAUUAUACAUGACGUCCUCCGCCCCAGAACGUUUCCGCCGUUCUUGGUUUUGGGGUGUGACAGAUUGGUAUCAGAGCAUUGUUUAUAGUGAAUUAAGUAUAUCAACCCAUAAAAAAUAUACUAACUAUAAAUACAUAAGGGAUUAAAAAUACUCUAACCAAGAGUUUAUACUUUAAAUAGUAAAAUAUUUAAGUAAGUAUACGUGCUGCAUUCAUACUAAAAUCAGUGUCACUAGGACAGUACAAAAGAAUUACGAUUGUUGGGCAACACAGGUGGGCUUAGAGACAUAUGGUCAAAACUGGGAAGAUAUAGCCUGAUCACCUAUAUUAUUCGAGGGUUGACUAGCAUGUGCCUAUGUUCAAUUGUGUGGUUGCAACAAUGCUAAAAUCUUACCAACCCUACCACCAUGAGAACAGUAGAACAUAACAUUAAAAUUCAAAUACUAUAAGAGUAUUUGGUGUUACUAUGAGUACUUUAUACUUGAGAAUUUAAAACGGGAUCUUCAUUACUAAGUUGAUAGUUGCUAAGUGGAUACACUAAGGCUAUAUGUAAUUAGGAUGUUAUAGACUUAGAAUCUGUGAAAAUUUUGCCUUACCCCUAUUUUGUGUGAAUUUGGAAUUAAGGUCACUUAUUCGAAGGUCUAUCCUGUUUAGAUUACAUAUAACUGGUAUGCACUUCACAAAUGGCGAUGUAACUGAUGAAGAUUUUCUAAAUAAUUAUCUAGAUAGUUCGUCUAAUAAUUAUUCUCUUACCCUAAAUUCUCGCAUAUAAAAAAUAGUUGGACUCCAUUCCCUCGGCAACCAAUACCUUCCGAAUGAGGUCAUUGUUGGUUGGUUUGGAGAAGAACCAGAGAGUGAUCAUCCUGUCCCUUUGAAUGAUCACCAUGAUGAAGACCUUUCGUAUGAUGCUAACUCCGAACCAGAGGUUGAGAACCUACCCAGAGCAGCUCCCUUUCAAAUUCCUAACCCUCGUCCGGAUUUUCCAUGGCCCGACCCCUGAGUGAGUGGAAUGCUUGGAAACAUGGAGCCAAGGACAAGAUCAGUCCAUGCCAUUUAAUGGCGACCGAAGCUUUUACGACUUGAGCAAUGGGGGCUCAGCAGAUAGAGUCUUGCCAAUCUUGGUCCUCAAAGUGGCCCGAAAUGAGAUUCAAGGCAGGACAACCCUACAUCAGGUUACCGAAGUUGUCGCCAAUGCGAGAAUGCAUACCCUCCGCACCAUUCGUCUAGAAGAUGCUCACGGGAGAUCAGAGAGAAACCAUGAAACCCUACUGCAAGCACUAGCUGAAUUACGAGCCGAAGUCAUAGAGCCCCGAGUACGCCAGAGGGUGUAUGAAAGAUGCAUACUUGACAUGGAACGUCAAUUGGAGGAACUAAGAGUUCACCAGAGGGAUGACCGUCGCCAGUAGUAGACCCUUUACUUUAAAUUUUCCUUAUAAAAAGGAAUCAUGUUUUUCUGUCUAUGCCUGAUAUGGCAUUUUCUAUGAAAUUAUCUUGUACCGUAAGUACUUUAGUUAGGUCUUUAUGCUGUCACGAACUACCUUCUGUGGAUAUGAUGUAAGACCUUUACAAGUCCAUUUUCCUGAACCUUUACGUCGUGAAUAUCCAAGAUAUUGAUAGCCGGCUAACUUCUGUGUCAUUCUUCAUUCAAGUACUCUUAUCAUUCUUUCAUUGGGGUCUACCUGAAACAUGCUUUAGUCAAGUCAUUGGACUAUAGUGAUUUAUCUCCGAAGACAUUUCCAAGUCUCUUUCAGUGGAUGGAUCUUGUUAUUCACCAGCCCACGAUACCUCAGCUCGAACAUCAAACGUCUUGAGACCAUUCUACGAACUUACUCUACUCUUUACUAGGACUGCAUCAUAGGGAUGUAGGUCAAACCUUCGCGAACAUACUUUCAUUCUGUACUAGGACUGCAUCAUAGGGAUGUAGGUCAAUCUUUCGAGAACAUACUUCCACUCUUUACAUGAACAAUCUAAGUACAUCAAGGUCAACCAGAAUCGCUCACAAAAUCCUUAUCUUUCGUGUUACAGAAUCAUGUCAUCAUCUGGAAGCAACCAGUCGAACAGGGAAACCUCCAUUUUUCCUAUGGACGCCACUACCUUUCAAACGACAGUUACAGCUGCCAUAGNCGUAACCGCGGUCCUUGCGCACCGUAACGCUAUCAGCACAGUCAAUGCUACUGAUGGGAAUGAAGUUUCCAAUCGUGAUAUCCAUCCAGGAAGUCACCAAACAGUAACAGUCAGAGACUCGCAAAGCCGAAAAGCAGAGAACAAGAAACGAAAGCGUCAAGCCCGGAAAGAAUGCAAGAGAUCCCAAAAGCUGGCUACACAACAACAGCAACUAGAAACCCAUGCCGUUCCCAUACCGAGCAGACCCUACAAAGGAACACUCCCGAAGUGCGACCGGUGCAACUACCACCACGAGGGAAUGUGUCGAGUCUUGCAAUGCGAUAAUUGCAACAAGAUAGGGCACAUUGGUCGUUUCUGUAGAACUACCUCCACCAUUGGGGCAAGCCUAGCUUGCUAUAAUUGUGGUGAGUUUGGGCACUAUAAAAGAGAUUGCCCGAAGAAGGAAAUUAAGGAAAGAACCCGUGUCCCCAUAAAUCCCACUCGACACUUCACUUCCACCACCAAUAUUGGUGUUGUCCAGAUAUGUCACCAAUGCGGUGAAAUUGGACACUUCAAGAAAGAUUGCCCAAUAACAAAGAGCUCGGGUGCUGAUGGGAAGAUUCUCAGGAUCACAGCUGUAGGAGAGCUUACUCCGGAACCCUCGUUAAUGUAAUUUAGGCAUUUUGUUGUAACAGACUUAUGAACUAUCCAGAACUAGUGCAACUAGAGUCUUACUUUUUGCGAGAUCCUGUCUGUAUAGGGAUUCUCGUGCUGCGUAUACUUGUCUUUUGUACUAUAUCUUAUUCGCAGCAAUAGUCUUAUGGUAAAUCUAAAGUACUGUAACUCUGUUCAUGGUUGCAUGAUUGUGUUUUGUCUGUAANCUUAUGUUCAAAUCUAAUGUCUUUAAGUUUCAGUAUGAUUUCGACAUUAUCAUACGAAUCGAUUAAAUUUGAUCCUCACGAAAACAGCUUCAUACGUACAUCUCUUUCUUCUAGAUCACUUUUCCAGCAAAGCCGUCAUAUCAGAACACAGAAGUACUCAUGCCAGGAGUACCUCUUAGUUAUUUUCUUUCCGAAGAAAUCCCCGAAGUACCACUCGUGCAGUACGUCAAGUUCAAUCCAAGGAUUCAUGUGGAUGAUCUAUCACUGAGGAAUGAAUACAUAAGAGUGUUAUAUAAUCAAGGUUCUACAAGUUUAGAAUUGAUGAUUUCGCUUUAACUCUUUUACUCAUUGGGAUGUGAGGGUAAGGAAGAAUCGGUUAUUCGACUACCUUUUCAAUCUUGAUUAUAUAUGACUCGUAUACACAAGAUUGUGAUCGUGAAGCCAUGUAUGAAUUCUAAAAUGAACUUCAGGAUGGAGAACUGCCUAAUUAUACGUGUAAUGACAUCUUCAAGUGAACAAACUUAGAACCCAAUACGACUCCCAUAAACAGAUCACCCUAUAGUCUAAACACCCACGGAGAUACAAGAACAGUCCGGACAACUUAGCGAACUACACAAAAAUAGAAUUAGAAGACUAGGUUUCUCACCCUAGAGAACCUCGGUCAUAUUCUCCCAGAGAUCGAUGGAUUGCAUAGUAUGUACCUCGGUUAUCGAGGACUCUGUCAAGAUUUUUCAUUAGAAAUCGUUAUCUCUACCGUACAUAGAUGAAAUGGUUGAGCAAACGCAAGGAAAUAAUUCCUUUCAGAAAUAGAUCUGAUAUCCGAAUAUCACCAGUUCGAGUGUUAUGGAAGGGUGUCCGAAAGACUAACUUCCGAAUUCGGUGCGAACACUUCGAGUCCGUAGUGAUACCUUUCGGAUAGGACCAAUACGCCCAUAGUUUUCAUGAGCUAAAUUAAUAGGGUACGACUUUCUUACUUGGAUCAGUACGUCAUUUCCCCAAGAAAUGACUUACUUAUCUACCCUCGUAGUAAGAAGAAAACCCAUGGAAACAUUUCCUACAGAGGAACUUUAGCGAAGUUCUCUAGGCACAAGUUUUGAAAUUGAAGAGUCAAAUUUCUAUGACACACUGAUAGUAAUGUGACAAAUUAAGAGCACUCUUUCAAUUUGUCAGAACCGUUGAGCAUUUAUCGACAUCAGAGACGCAGACAGACUUUCGCCAAAUUCUAGGUCUUACCGACCUACCGUCUGUGACAACCCGAAAUUUUCAUUUGUACGAACAAUAUCUAUUCAANNNNNNNNNNNNNNNNNNNNNNNNNNNNNNNNNNNNNNNNNNNNNNNNNNNNNNNNNNNNNNNNNNNNNNNNNNNNNNNNNNNNNNNNNNNNNNNNNNNNGAUGUCUUUCUGUUCUUGGCUGGUAUCGACGACGUGUGCGAGGAACGCAUGAUACUCCUUCCGCAAGCACUUCUGUGCUUGAAUGCACGAAAUGAUGUGAAUGCUCGUACUAGGUUUGUCGCCGUAGAUAAUUAAGGUUUCGUUGUUAGGACGGUUAAGACGAACUGCUUUUUCGAAGCACAUAAUGUCGGCACGUAGAAGACUCAACCAAUCCAUACCGAUGAUAACGUCGAAACAUUUAAUGGUAACUGGCAUGAGAUCUAUCUUGAAAGUAUGGCUAUCUAAAGUUAAGGUACAACCUACGUAUAUGCAGUUUGUACUCUCUGUUCUCCCGUUAGCCAUUUCUACUAUGAAUGAACUAUCUAAUGCACAUGGUUUUUGUUUAAGCAGGUGUGCAAAUUUGUGACUUACAAAACUUUUCUCGGCUCCACUAUCGAAAAGUAUGCAAGCAUAAGAGUUAUCGAGGAGGAACGUACCAGUAACUAUCGUAGGAUCAGCUACUGUUUCCUCGUGGCCUAGGGCUAUAACUCUUCCCACUCCUCCAGCCAUCCCUGCUUUAGGGCAGUUCCUCUUGUAGUGGCCCACUUCGCCACAUCCGUAACAAGCUUGGCCCAUAUCGGUGUUUGGAACCUGAGCAGCUUGAGCUGUUGGAGUUUUGCAGAAACGGACAGUGUGUCCCUUCUUGUUGCAGUUAGAGCACUGCAUCUCCCUGCAAGGUCCGAGGUGAUGGAAGUUGCACUUGGUGCACUUCGGAAGGUUUCCAGCAUAUGCUCUUGCUGGUAAGAGGUUGGCAUGGGCAACAGGAGUGACUGUGGCAGCAUUGAUUGCCACAAGUUGUUGUUUCCUGGAGGACCCUUGUGAGGCCCGUCUUUUCCUCUUAUUCCACCCUUUCUUGUCAUGGUCGGGGUUGGACUUUUGUGGUACAGGGGUAGGGAUUGUUAUGUUAUGGGGUUUCUGGUGAUCGAUGAGGGAUUGUGCCAGUUCUUUGGCACUAUCAAAAGUAAUACGCCUGGAAGCGAUCACACUUGACUGGAUCUAGGGUGAUAGUCCCCAGAUAUACGUCUAGAUCUUUUUGCUCUGGAGAGCAACCAUGUCGGGGCAUAAGUUUGCCAAAUCACAAAACCUAUUUGUGUAGGUAGUGAUGUCGGAUCCAACCAUUUGUAGACCCCAGAAUUCCUGCUCGAGUUUUUGUACUUCGCCUCGAGGACAAUAUUCUUUCAUGAGCAUCUCUUUCAAUUUAUCCCAGUUGAUGGAAUACGCCACCACCAGAGUUAGAUAGUUAACAUUGCUGUUCCACCAUGUUGGUGCUCGGUCAGAGAAGGUACAAGCUGCGAACUUGACCUUGCUGCCUUCUUGGCAUGCGCAGAUCUCGAAGACAGAUUCCAUCUUCUCGAUCCAUUGUCUCAACACCAUAACACCCCCAGUUCCAUUGAAGCUGCGUGGUUUGCUGUUAGUGAAGUCCUUGUAGGUGCAUCCCCGAGGGUGUCCAUGGCUUUCGCCGUGGUUCGAGGGUAGUGCACCUGUUCCUGAUCCACUAGGGGCAGGAGCGUUGAUUGCUGACACAGCAGCUGCAACUGCUGCUGUGAAAGCUGCCUGGAACAUAGUGGCAUCAAAAGGAUUUGGGGGUUGAAGAGGUACAGGUGGUGGUGGAGGUGGUGGUAUUGGUGCUGCGUUGUUUGGGUUCCUCCUUGGAUUCCUACGUGGCGGCAUCUUUAACUAUACGUUUAAAAGAUGACGACAUGGAUAAGAAUAAAUGAUAAAUGAAUGUGUCUCAUGGACUAAAUCCCCAUAGUCCAACAACAGAAAGAAUAGCAUGACUAAAUGAAGAAGAUAGCAUUUGGAUAAUAAUUUCCAUAAGAUUAGAUAUCUGUCAAUAAUACUGGAAUUACAGAUGUAACAAGUUCGGGAAAAAUGGCCUAGAAGUAGGCCUUACAUCAACCAAGAUGGAAAAUUUUGACAGAAUUAAGACUAGAUCAAGACCUAACAGGUCUAAGAUUUAUACAGAUAGGAAAUUAGACCAAAGUUUUACAUAAACUAGGUUAUAUCCAAAAGAUGAGUUGACGAUAUUCUAUCGGCGACGAGAACUGCUAGCAUGAGUCCUCGAUCCCGACAGUAGACGUUCAAUGUCCCUUAUACGCCUGUCCGACCUUGCUUGUUGAGCUCGAAGUUCUCUAACUUCAGCUCGGGUUUCAGCAAGUUCCCUCUGCAGAUUUGCAUUGCGGACCAGAGUCCUUUCAUGAGCAGACUCUAGUUGGCGAAUGUGGACAGUGUUAACACCAGAGUUGGCGUCAACUUCCAAGACUUGAUUGAUAGUCGCCUGAGCNAUCCUAUGCACCAUGAUUGGUAGGACUCUAUCAGCAGAACCUCCUUCAGUGAGGUUGUAGAAACUUCGGUCGCCAUUGUAAGGAAUGGGCUGACCUUGUUCUUGACUCCAUUCAGUCAAGUUACUGGCCCACAAGGGUGUGGGUCCUUGAAACACAGGGUGAGGGUUUAGGUUUGGGUUUUGAACAGCUGGUGGUAGGUUGUUGACUUCUGGCUCCGAGUCAGAACUAUCGGAAAAUNNNNNNNNNNNNNNNNNNNNNNNNNNNNNNNNNNNNNNNNNNNNNNNNNNNNNNNNNNNNNNNNNNNNNNNNNNNNNNNNNNNNNNNNNNNNNNNNNNNNAGUCACUUUAAAUUAUUGUUCAAAACUCCUAGAUAUCUUGCAAAAUCAGNAUAUUUUACCUUUUUGAAUCAAACUAUACUUAUACGUAUAUGUUCAUUUAUAUGUUAGAGAUUAUAGUUUUCAUCCUUCGUUCAGUUUCCCGCACCCUGGCGUUGCGAGGGUGCAUAAACCUACUUGAACAACCACAUACUUUCCAGUUAGCUAUCAUAGGGAUAGUCAGAAGAUAUCAAACAAGAGUCAGUUCAUUCAUGAGUCUAUACUAAUGCCUUACAUGAUACAUGAGUACACGUACUUAGGAUUAUAUGAUACAUGAAUAUGUUUACAUAUACUUACCUGUUACAUGAACACACUUACAUGAAUACCAUACAGGGACACUUCUUCAUAGGUGCAUUAUCCUGUAUUUACUUACCUUGGAUACUUGAACUUAGAUCUAAGAGGAUGAUUUAUUAGUAUUUACUGUGUAAAUUGUCUUUCCUAUCCCCGUUCAAUGGGAUGUUUCGGCGGGACUUACCAUUCCGAAUCUCACUGAUUAGCACCAGUGGUCGAUGACGUCUACGGAUGUCUAAGGUAGUCACUUGAUUAGUAGUCAGUGACGGGACUAACUAUCCCUCUGUCCACUGUUGCAACAGUGGAUGAGAUGUGAAUCUUCGGAGGAUCAUUAGGUUGACGAUCUGCAUCAAGAGAUCGAUUCAGGGGCUAACCCUCCUUAGACCCUGCUGCUGCUACAGAGGAUGAGGGGACACUCUUCGGAUGUUCCUUAGGGUCUAUCUUUCGCUUCAGCGAUGUCGUGUUUGUCCUGGUAAUCCAAGACAAUAACACUUACAUGAUUUUAUUUUCCCUGUUUACUUUAUUUUGUGAUUACUUUCACAUAAACGAGGAGUUAGACUAAGUGCUUUAGUACUAGUCAAUAGAAAGGAAAAACUACACUUCAUUCAUACAAAACAUUCGAGUCUUGGUAGAAGACUACACUUCAUACAUACAAAACAUUCGAGUCUUGGUAGAAGACUACACUUCAUACAUACAAAACAUUCGUGUCUUGGUAGAAGACUACACUUCAUACAUACAAAACAUUCGAGUCUUAAUAGAAGACUACCUUUCAUACUUAUAGAAAAUAAGGGUUUUUCUAGGGAUUUCAUACUUACCUCAACAUUUUCACUUAAGGGUUUACAUGCCAUUCAUAGCAGAUUUUCACAAACAAAGCAAUGACACUUAUAUACUUAUGAACUCACCAGCUUUAAAGCUGAUACUCUCUUUCAAAAUAACUUGUGUUCUCAGGUCGCCAGUAGACAGGUACGGAGGACAGGUUUCGAGAAGAUGGAGCAGUAAAGUCUCGUCUUUUAUUUUGAUUGUAUAUUUUUGGUGUCUUAUUACAAUGAAAGAACACACAUGUAUAAAACUUUACUUAUAAUGCAAUGGAUGAUGUUGUUGCUUGUUUAUUAUAUUACACUGUUGUGAUACUGUACAUGACGUCCUCCACCCCUGAACGUUUCCGCCGUUCGUGGUUUUGGGGUGUGACAGAUUGGUAUCAGAGCAUUGUUUAUAGUGAAUAUAGUAUAUCAACCCAUAAAAGAUAUACUAACUAUAAAUACAUGGGAUUAAAACACUCUGUCUCAGAGUUAUACUUUUAAAUAAUAAAAUAUUUAANAGGUUAACUCACUCUGGGAAUGGCUUAAUACGCUUCGUAAAGCAUGGAAAGCUAAAUCCAAGAUAGACAGGACCUCCGAGAUUCUUAUCAGAAUCGGUCUUGUGCCUCGCACAAACUAGACCUACUCCGCGAACUCAGUAACGUACAUUCUACUCUUCGCAUCUCGAUCGUGAAACCAUACAUUUCUGUUAGGACUCUAGUAAGUCCACUUGUCGAGAUCCUCGCCUUCGUAUUAGAACCGCAGUAACCCUCAACCGAGUGGUCAAGCGGACAAAGCAACGCCGUCGCUAGUUAGUGAAGGUUCGUUGGAAUGCCAACCGAGAACCCAAUUUCACUUAGGUGCGCUAGAACCAAUCGAUUAGGAAGUUUUCUCCUCAAGACUCGAUCAUUCGUACAUACUUCCUUGCUUAAAUUCUUAUUUCGGGACGAAAUUCCCUUCAACAGGGGGAUGAUGUGACAACCCGAAAUUUCCAUUCUGAACAAACCAUAUCAAGCCAAUAGAAGUAGAACAGUUACAGUGAAAACUCAGAUUUCGAGUAUAAGUUUGGCAGUUUUCAGGAUUUUACACUUAAGGAGAUAUUAGGAGAGUGGAUGCACUAGGGUUUUGUGCAACACUGUUAUUCCAAUACUCUAGGACAUUAGAGUUCGUUCCAGGAAUAAAAAUAUUUUCUGCCAAAAAUAUCUCCGGACUAUAAAUAGAAUUCUGAACCAAAUUGGUUCAUUUGUUGAAUUCCAUUUAGAGAAAAGUCAAUAUUCUCUCUCAUGGAUCUUCGGGUUUUCAUCCCAAAUCGUGAGUAUACUUCUCUAGUUGUUUUAUAAUUCUUGUUAUAAGCUUAAUAACAUAGAUUACAUGCCAAUUAUGUGAGAUCCGGGAGUUUACCGCCCAAGAACGUUCUUGGGGAGUAAACUCCAUUUUAAGGUCCUAAAGGGUUCCAAUGACCCUCAAAGCUUUAGAACUCCAACUAGAAGCCUCCAAUUCAUGCUUUAGACCACAAAACAAUUAGGAAUCAUGGCUAGAAUUGAGUUCACGGCCACGGAGCUUCUUAGGCCGUGAACUCCAUGUUUUAGGUGCCAAAAUGCUUUCAAACACUUCCUAAGGCUUAAGAUUAAAGUAGAACAUGUACCCUAAAGUGUUUAUAACCUAGCAAACAAAAUAAAUCACAAGGAAAAAGGAGUUUACGACCAAGACAAACUCUUGAACCGUAAAUACCUAUAAAGGGGUCAAAUGACACCCUAACUCCUUCCUUAAGCCAAGAGACCAAUUUGGGCAUGUACCUAAAUGAGUUUUGGACUAGCUAACACACUUAGAACACCAAGAGUAAGGUGUUCACGGCCCAAAAGGUUCUAGGGCCGUGAACUCCAUAAAAUGGUGCCAAAUGGUGCCAUAAACUCUUCUAAAGCCAAGUACAAAAGCCUAGUUUAGUUCCUAGUUAAUUUAGAGACUUGAAAACACCAUAAUCACCCUCCCAAGGGAGUUUACGGCCGUAAAAUCCAAGGGAAUAUGGUCUCUGGGCCGUAAACUCCCCAAAGGAGUUGAUAUGGCACCCAAACACUUAUUAUAGCCCAGAAGCAAUUCACUACAUGAGUUGUACAAUUAGUAGACACCAUUUAGGGACUUGAUUGAGAGUUUACAGCCAGGAGUUUACUCCCCUGGGCCGUAAACUCCAAAUUAUAUGGUCAUUAGACCUUAAACUCCCAUUGGGGGCAUUGCACUCCUUUAUUGCAACCCAUUAGCCUCCUAGCACUUGACCAAAAGUGUUUUCCUCACGUUUAAAUGUUAAUACUUGUAUAAUUAGUGUUAUAAUCACUAAUUAUUUAUAUACAUAUGUUUUCAUAUGUAAUUAGGAUCAUUGGGUGUGUCUCAGUCUUAAGUUGACACCAAGCACUUGUCUGAUCCAUCCGUACGAUCACAGUCCGUUCAAUUCCAGUCACUUACUAUAGGUGAGUUCAUACCCCUUAACUAAUGUUUUAAACUAUUUUUAAAUGUUUUAUGGGGGGAUACAAGUAGAAUCUUGCUAGUUCUUAUAUCAAUCACAUGUGAUUAAUAAGUAGAAUUAUGCUAGUUAUUACAUCAAUCACAUGUGAUUAAUAUACAGCAUUCAAACGAUUUGGCUACUCAUUAGCCGUUUUACCAAACAGUUUCCUUCAAAUGAUUUUUAUAAAAAUUUUAUAUGUUUUAAACUCCUUAUUACACUGUACCUCUUACUCUGUUUAUUACCUUUCAAACUUAUUUACAACUGUGUUUCAAACAAAUGUUUCCUUAUACUCAAAAUUGUUUUAUCAAACUUAUGCCUUCAAAUUGUUUUAUAGAUUGACAUCAAGUCGAUCUUUUCAUAAAAUAAUAUUUAUGUUUCAAAUGUCUUACAAAACUUAUUUAUGCUCUUAUAUUAUAAAUUGCAAGCCUCUAUAUGUAUAGUUAUAUAAGACAUGUUUAAAAGACUUAGGAAGGCUAUCCACCGUAUUUCCUUUUCGCGCUUGAGAUGUGGUCUGGUGGGAUAUCGGGUACUCGUCUGAAGGUCGUUUAAAUAUUAGUUAUAUAUCAUGUGUACAUAUAUAGUCAUAAAAGGUCCUUCCAGUUCAAGAUAUGCCCUUGGGUAGCAAGGGUAUACAUCCAUGUUCAUACGUACCAGUUAGAUUACUAGUAAACUACCAUAUGGGUAGUUUAGGAAGAUACUAGAAUAAUUACUAGAACGCGAUAUCAUACAAUGAGUCAGUUCAUUCAUGAGUCAAUACUUUCUAGAACAUUACAGUACAUUACAUAUACAACUAUACUAGGAAGAGAACAUAUACAACUAUACUAGAAUGAUUACAUUACUAUACUUGCUAGGUAGAGAGCAUGUACAUUAUAGCUAGAACAAUUCAU